Molecule: non-coding RNA, 30 nt
Filed under: Mus musculus (house mouse)
Lineage: Eukaryota; Metazoa; Chordata; Mammalia; Rodentia; Muridae
Source: RNAcentral
UAACUAUUGGCUUCACCAUUCUCUGAUUCC